CGGCUCGUCACAUCCUGGAGCUGGAGAAGGUUCCAAGGGUUGGGCUGUUCGCCCAUUAAAGUGGCACGUGAGCUGGGUUCAGAACGUCGUAAGACAGUUCGGUCCCUAUCUGCUGCGGGCGCAGGAAGCUUGAAGGGGGUUGCUCCUAGUACGAGAGGACCGGAGUGAGUAUGUCACUGGUGAAUCAGCUGUCAUGCAAGUGGCAAAAGCUGAGUAGCCAACACAUAUAACCGAUAACCGCUGAAAGCAUCUAAGCGGGAAACGGGCCCUAAGAAGAGGCUUCCCACUCUUGAAAAAGAGGUAAGGGCAGUUCGAGAAGAGGACAUAGAUAGGCCGCAAGUGUAAGUGUCGAGAGGCAUUGAGCUGAGCGGUACUAAUAGCCCGAGGCUUUG
RNAcentral lists this ribosomal RNA (392 nucleotides) under Defluviitoga tunisiensis. RNAcentral describes it as "partial 23S ribosomal RNA". It matches the Rfam family "Bacterial large subunit ribosomal RNA", at positions 2533 to 2925 of the family's 2925-position model. Lineage: Bacteria; Thermotogati; Thermotogota; Thermotogae; Petrotogales; Petrotogaceae. The record is from RNAcentral.